CCAGGGCCCAACCCAACUGAGCUCAUUCGGGGGCUAUGUUUCGAGAAUGUCGGUCCUAAAUUCUCGUCUUCGAAACUAAAAAACGUAUUUUAUUUUUGUUUUUUUUUUCUGUUUUUUGUUUGUGCCUAAAUUUUGUGUAAUUUUUUUGGCUAAAUUUUCGUGUCAUGUUUGGAAAAAAAGAGUGAUAUUUUUGGAAUGUGGAGUCGCGGAAGUGGAAUACUUGAAUUCGUAGAGUCUAUGUGUCACGGUCGCCAUGUGUACAACUAAUGAAUGGGAGGACUCUGUGGUCACUCUGGUCAUCUGAUCAGAGACCAUCCUCGCUGUCAUCCUCUUUCUGAAGUCCCUGUGAGUGUUCUAGAGUCUUUGUGUCACGGUCGCCAUGUGUACAACUAAUGGAUGGGAGGACUCUCUGUUGCCUCUGGUCUUCUGAUGAAGGAUCAGAGUCUAGAACCUAUUUCCAUCCUCGCUGUCGUCUCCUCUUCCUGAAGUUCCUCUUUGUCUCAAAAAAACGUCGUUUGGUGCCGAAGUUGUUACCUGUUACCUGUAUUUUGGAAUACAAGAAACUGGCGAUUUGCCGAAUAACUCUUACAAGGACAUUUAGGCUCGAUUCCUGCAGCUGGGAGGUACAGGAUUGCCACAAAGUGUCCUUGAUGGUGAAGGCGUACAUAUGGAGGUUCCACUUGAAGAUGCCUGAUACUUGGCUUCUCCGUGAAGCUGAUGACUUUUUUUCGCCAUGAAAAAUAAAAACCAAAAAAAAAAUUCAUUUUUUUUAUUAUAAAAAAUAUAUAUCUCUCGAUAUUUGUUUAAAAGAAAAUAUCGCGAGCUAUUUUUGGUAGUGGCCCAAAAAAGUAUGCUAUGAUUUUCUUGCAACCUACAUUUCGCAAAGACCCAAAAAAGUA
Long non-coding RNA from Drosophila ananassae, 899 nucleotides. RefSeq lists it as uncharacterized. The record is from RefSeq and is a predicted model, not a curated record. Lineage: Eukaryota; Metazoa; Arthropoda; Insecta; Diptera; Drosophilidae. The transcript has 3 exons.